UUCGGCGACGUUCUUCUUAUGACUCGCUGAGCAGCUUCCGGGAAACCAAAGUUUUUCGGUUCCGGGGGAAGUAUGGUUGCAAAGCUGAAACUUAAAGGAAUUGACGGAAGGGCACCACCAGGAGUGGAGCAUGCGGCUUAAUUUGACUCAACACGGGAAAACUCACCCGUCCCGAACACUGUGAGGAUUGACAGAUCAAGAGCUCUUUCUUGAUUCAGUGGGUAGUGGUGCAUGGCCGUUCUUAGUUGGUGGAGCGAUUUGUCUGGCUAAUUCCGAUAACGAACGAGACUCUGGCCUACUAACUAGCGGCGGUGUUCAUGCCUCCUGACGGGGGCCGCGUGCGGCAACCGCCGGGCGCGCCCCUUGGAGCAGCAGCGCCGGCAGCCGCUUCUUAGAGGGACCAGCGACACUUUCGCAAGCCGCACGAGAAAGAGCAAUAACAGGUCUGUGAUGCCCUUAGAUGUACGGGGCUGCACGCGUGCUACACUGACGGCGUCAGCGUGCGUUCAAGCCCGGCCUGGCAAGGUCGGGAAAUCGGUUGAAACGUUCUCGUGACUGGGACAGGGAAUUGCAAUUAUUUCCCUCGAACGAGGAAUUCCCAGUAAGCGCGAGUCAUCAGCUUGCGUUGAUUACG
RNAcentral lists this ribosomal RNA (634 nucleotides) under Trichuris vulpis. Its description in RNAcentral is "SSU rRNA". It matches the Rfam family "Eukaryotic small subunit ribosomal RNA", at positions 1053 to 1649 of the family's 1831-position model. The record is from RNAcentral. Lineage: Eukaryota; Metazoa; Nematoda; Enoplea; Trichinellida; Trichuridae.